CACGUAGGGUGCGAGCGUUGUCCGGAAUUACUGGGCGUAAAGCGCGUGUAGGUGGAUUGGUGUGUCAGAUGUGAAAUCCCUGGGCUCAACCCAGGAACUGCACCUGAAACUACCAGUCUUGAGUGGUGGAGAGGGAAGUGGAAUUCCUGGUGUAGAGGUGAAAUUCGUAGAUAUCAGGAGGAACACCAGUGGCGAAGGCGGCUUCCUGGACACCAACUGACGCUGAGACGCGAAAGCGUGGGGAGCAAACAGG
This 253-nucleotide ribosomal RNA is filed under the name uncultured bacterium. RNAcentral's name for it is "partial 16S ribosomal RNA". It matches the Rfam family "Bacterial small subunit ribosomal RNA", at positions 524 to 776 of the family's 1533-position model. The record is from RNAcentral.